This 388-nucleotide ribosomal RNA is filed under the name Syndiniales sp. RNAcentral's name for it is "partial small subunit ribosomal RNA". It matches the Rfam family "Eukaryotic small subunit ribosomal RNA", at positions 582 to 975 of the family's 1831-position model. The record is from RNAcentral. Lineage: Eukaryota; Dinophyceae; Syndiniales.
AUUCCAGCUCCAAUAGCGUAUAUUAAAGUUGUUGCGGUUAAAAAGCUCGUAGUUGGAUUUCUGUCGAAAAUGGGCGGUCCUCACUACGUGGGUGUAUUGUUUCAGUUUCGGCAUCCUCAUGGGGAACGUUGCUGCGCUUGAUUGCGUGGCGCGGUAUCCAUGACUUUUACUUUGAGGAAAUUAGAGUGUUCACGGCAGGCAAUCGCCUUGAAUAUAUUAGCAUGGAAUAAUAAUAUAGGAUCUUGGUUCUAUUUUGUUGGUUUCUAGAGCUAAGAUAAUGAUUAAUAGGGAUAAUUGGGGGUCUUUGUAUCAUGGCGUCAGAGGUGGAAUUCUUGGAUUGCCAUGCGACAAACUACUGCGAAAGCAUUGACCAAGGAUGUUUUCAUCG